This 7085-nucleotide long non-coding RNA is filed under the name Homo sapiens (human). Its description in RNAcentral is "non-protein coding lnc-MGST2-3:1". The record is from RNAcentral. Lineage: Eukaryota; Metazoa; Chordata; Mammalia; Primates; Hominidae.
GGAUACUGCUUGUCCUAAAGAUUCAGGAGGAAUAGAACUUUCUCCAGGAACCCAGGGACUUAUCCAGGGAUGACAAUCUAACUUUUUAGGGUCUGAUUGAAAGAUCUGCAUCCUUGUGGACAAGAACUUAACUCUACAGAGGAGAUUCCUCCUGCCACAGGAUUACACCUGGAAAGAUUUUAACAUUCUUUUCCUUUGUCAAGUCCCCAAAGGAUACAUUCCUGAUAGGGAAUCCUAGAGUUUAUUCUCCCUUGAAUGACUAAGGCCCUAGGCAAAGCUGAAGAGGAGUCUGGAUUCUGUGAGAAUGAACAAGGCAGCUGCUCGGAGUCGGCUGCUGAGGGGGCCAUCUGUUUAAGCAACGAGAAGUACGGAGCUAAAGAGGCACACGGUAUUCAAACAUGUGAUAACAUAGGAUGUGACUGUUUAAAUUCACCUGGCUUCGGUCAACAUUGACAGAAGGUGUACAUGACUCUACGGGAAUGGGGAAAUGGCAGCACCAGGGGCUGACUGAGCCCCAGUCCUGACUGUGACUGCUUUGGUAACAACAAGGUGUUUAGGAAGAACAGUCCCAGUCCUUUUCCAAAGGUCGCCUCCUGGUGUUUACUAAAGGAACUCUGAGUCUCAGCAGAAGCAGAAGUCCUACCAUUAGCUUGCAGAACCCUUCAGGAUGGGAAAGAAGACUUGGGCUUCAGUGACUCAGCCUGGAGCUGGGAACAGGCAGGCAGGGAUACAGAGUGGGUGUUCUUCUCCUACAGGAGGAGAGAUGCAUCCCUCAUGCCCAGAGAGGCUCUGGGGUCCCCGAAUCCAGAGGUAGUAGAAGAAGAGUCAAAACACACUCUCCUGAGAACACAUCUCAGGUGCAUGGAACACAAGACACGCUGCUUUGAUUAGGGUGCUCUCUUGUCCAUUUUGUUCUAUAAUCCACAAGAGAAGACCAUCUGCACAGCAGUGACAUGCUCUAGUUGACCAUGAUGAGCCUUUCCUAGGGAAACUAUUUUGAGUGGUAUAUCUUACAGGAGACUGCAAGGCUCAAUAGUACAGUCACCAGGAAAAUCUACAUGUAAAUAUGACACUUAUGAACCGGCAAUAAAAUAUGGUGAGUCUAAAGACCUUCCAUGUCAAAGUUCUUUUUCUUUUUUUUUUUUGACGGAGUUUCACUUUAGUUGCCCAGGCUGGAGUGCAGUGGUGUGAUCUUGGCUCACCACAACCUCCGCCUCUUGGGUUCAAGCCAUUCUCCUGCCUCAGCCUUCUGAGUAGCUGCAAUUACAGGCAUGUGCCACCACAUCUGGCUAAUUUUGUGUUUUUAGUAAAGAUGGGGUUUCUCCAUGUUGGUCAGGCUGGUCUUGAACUCCUGACCUCAGGUGAUCCACCCGCCUUGGCCUCCCAAAGGGCUUGGAUUACAGGCGUGAGCCAUCGCGCCCAGCCUCUUUUUUUUUUUUUUUUUUUUAAAGACACAGUCUCCCUCUGUUGCCCAGUCCGGAGUGCAGUGGCACAAUCAAGGUUCACUGCAGCCUCAAACUCCUGGGUUCAGGCGAUCCUCCUACUUCAGCCUCCUGAGUAGCUGGGACCACAGGUGUAUACUACCAUGUCUCAGCUAGUUUUUUAUUUUUUAAUUUUAUUUUUGUAGAGACAGGGCCUCACUAUGUUGCCCAGGUUGGUCUCAAUCUUCUGGGCUCCAGCGAUCCUCCCGCCUUGGCCUCCCAAAGUACGGGCAUUACAGGCAUGAGCCACUGUGCCCAGCCAAGGCUCCUUGUCUGUGAGGAGGAUUCAGAGACAUCUUAGAAAUUUUCAUUACCUUUGCCUAUGAAUUAAGUAUAUAGUAUCGGCAAAAAAUAUUUGGACACUUCUGGCUUAAAUGGAUGGAAGCUUUAAGAGUUCAACCGUUGUUCCCAUGGACAGGGCAAAGGUAGGGGAAGGAAAACGGAAGUCUCUACUUUAGUUCUUCACUUAUACUUUUUCUUUUAAAAAGACUAUUCUGUUUGUGUCCCUGGCAACAAGCUCCUCCCAGGAUCCUAAGGGAGUUGGUGGAUAGGGAGGAGGAGAUUGGUGGUGGCUGAGCUGAAGCAGGACAGAAUAGGAUACUGAUGUCAGAGGGCGAGGCAGGCGCUCAGUUGGAAAGUUGCUCUUUGUUCCUAAAAAUAAAAGUCUGACCCUGCUUUUUUGGGAUCUUCCCUGGAAUGAAGCCAGCCAACUGCUGAUCUCUUUUUAGAAUUAGCUCAGUAGCCCUCAGCCCAAAGGUGAACUCCAAAGACCCUCCAGAUAUUCUGGCCCCCAAUAAAAUGUUACACAGUAAAGUAAAUGACAUCAGAGAAAGUUUCUCUUGAAAGGAUAGGAUGGCCUGUAUAUUUGUAAAGCAAAAUGUAUCCAGCAGAAAGGAUGAGUGGAUAGGACUAGGGAGAGGAGGGGGAUAUUGAAGACAGAGAAUACCAGGUUGGGAACGCUGCCCAGAGGUUGUGAAAGGAUUAACAACUGGAUGUGGCUGUGUGCUUUAGAAAAUUCUCUAGGAGGACCAAGUGUGGCAAGGAACCUCAAAGACCCUCCAUGAAGGAUCCACACCACACCCUCCUUCUGGAGAGCUCUCUACAGUACUCGGAAUCUUACGUUUUAUCCAUUCAUGAAGUCUUUACCCAAAGUUACAGCUACAGUUUAUAAAAUGGCAGUGAUGUAUUACGCUGCACAUCAAACGAGAAGCCCUUUUCCUUUAAAGAGGUUGUAUUUUGGAGAGGGUUUUGGGCAGCCAUUGUAUAGACUGUACACUGUUCUGGGUCCAAGAACCAAAGCCAUGUCUUAGAACUUUCCUAAGACUGAGCCUCAUGUUAUGGGCUGAUCAUCCUGUAUAUCUAAGGACCCUUUUUGCAGUGUCAUUCCUAACUAUUCCAGUGACCAGCCACCUUAAAUGACUCAAUGCAUAAAUAAAACAUCAGGUAGUGAAGAAGUUCUUUCCUUCCCUGGAAGCGGGAUAAGAUUCUGUGGCCAUGCACACAAAAGCUCCUAUACUUUUCUCUCAUUAGCAAAUGCUGGGAAGAAAUUCAUUCAAACUUCAAUCAUUAUUUUUUAUGUAAGUAUCUGGGACUACAGGAUGUAAAAUAAAGGGCAGAGUUCACUAGUUUAUACACUGCUCCUCUAGAGUUUAGCUGGCGGAAAUAAUUUUCUGGUUGAGAAAACGGAAGAUUGUAAAAGAUUUCUCAGGAAACCCUUAGCGUAUUUAACUGCAAAUUCCCCAGCCUAGGACAGAGUUUCUUAAUUAGGUAAUCCAGAGGGACCACCUGUACCAGAAUCAGCUACAGGUGCUUUGAAGAUGUAGCUUUCGGGGGCCCAUCCCAGAUUUGGAUCUCUGGGAUGGGGCCCGAGUAUCUUCAAUUGGAACAAGCUCACCAGGUGAUACACUGAAGUUUGGGAAUCAUUGCUAUGUCUUGAAAGAAACAUCCCACACCAGGUCACCUCUACUUAAAGUAAAAAAAAAAAAAAGUCCGGGCGCGGUGGCUCACGCCUGUAAUCCCAGCACUUUGGGAGGCCGAGGUGGGCGGAUCACGAGGUCAGCAGAUCCAGACCAUCCUGGCUAACACGGUGAAACCCCCGUCUCUACUAAAAAUACAAAAAAUUAGCUGGGCGCGGUGGCAGGUGCCUGUAGUUCCAGCUACUGGGGAAGCUGAGGCAGGAGAAUGGCGUGAACCCGGGAGGCGCAGUUUGCAGUGAGCCGAGAUCGCGCCACUGCACUCCAGCCUGGGUGACAGAGCGAGACUCCGUUCUCAAAAAAAAAAAAAAAAAAAAAAAAAAAGGUAAAAGGACCUACACUUCUUCAGGUGUAGCUCUUGCUUUCCUAGUUCACAGAUAUUUUUAAAGUUGUCUUUUUGUUUGUUAGUUUUUUUGAGACAGAAUUUUGCUCUUGUUGCUUAGGCUGGAGUGCAGUGGCGCGAUCUCGGCUCACUGCAACCUCCGCCUCCUGGGUUCAAGUAAUUCUCCUGCCUCAGCCUCCCAAGUAGCUGGGAUUACAGGUGCCCGCCACCACACUUGGCUAAUUUUUCGUAUUUUCAGUAGAGACACAGUUUCCCCAUGUUGGCCAGGCUGGUCUCGAACUCCUGACCUCAGGUAAUCCACCUGCCUCGGCCUCCCCAAGUGCAGGGAUUACAGGUGUGAGCCACUGCGCCUGGCCAAAGUUAUCUUAACAUUAUUGGCCCUCCAUUAACUUGUAUUAUAGCAAGCAUCAAGAGGAUGAACUUCCCAGACGUAAAAUGAGUCAGUCAAUGUUCUGUCACUGGAGGUCUUCAAGCAGAGGCUGGAAAGCCACUUCUUAGGAAUACCAUAGGAAAGAAUAAAGUAUUGCUCACGCCUGUAAUCCCAGCACUUUGGGAGGCCGAGGAGGGCAGAUCACGAAGUCAGGAGUUCGAGACCAGCCUGGCCAAGAUGGUGAAACCCCAUCUCUACUUAAAAAAAAAAAAAAGAAUAAAGUAUCAGUAGAGGGCCCUAACCCUAAAAUAAUGUAUCACAUUUCCUCUAGCUCUAUGAUCAUAGGAUAAUAUUAUAAGAAAAUCAGCUUUAAUAUAUCAAGUAUUACAUUUUAAAAAGUCUAAGCAUAUGCCCAGAUUUUUUUGGUAGUUUUAAAAAGAAGCAUGAAAGCCAAUCUGUAAAACUGAAGUCCAGAAGCUGAGGAUAGAACUAUCAACAGGCUUCAGGAUUCUUAGCCUUAAUUCCAGCUCUGAAACGUAUUGGCUCACCAUACGCUCAUGAAGACAAACAGAAAAAAGGCAGAAGAGUUCAUCAUCUUCACAUUGCCCUACCCAGUCCCAAGCAUCCUGUUAUCUAAUGGCACUGUGAUGACUGCUAAGCCUUGUCACUCUUCGGAGUGGUGUUCAUCAGAUCAGAGACUUAAAUCUCUCGCAAUGCUUCAGGUUCUUCAACUGCAAAAGGGUAUCACUAAAUGCCCAGGGAAAUACAAUUUUCAAGAGGAUAAAUGCUUGACUGUGCUGGUUAUUGGCACCUGUUUUCCAUUUCCCUAGAGUUUCCUCUUCACUAGUCAAAAGUGUGCGUGUCCAUGGAUCUUUGCUACUACAGAAAAAUAAUUCCAACCCUAGGUAGUGCUAAGGAUGGGGUAGCAGUGAGCACAUUACCAAAAGGCUCAGCGUAAAUGGGUACAGAAGAUGAGCCUGUGCAAAACAAAAUAAAAAAGGAGAUUCUGAAGUUCCUCAAUCAAUUAAACUAACAAUUCAGAUAAACAGGAGAGUGAAUCUGUGGAGUCUGAAUUAUCUGGCAACCUUUCCAUGUAUCAUAUUGACAUAAAGAUUGCCAAACCGCCCACUCUUCAAUUCAUGUUGUGUGGACUGUACUUAAACACCUCGAUGGCUUUGGAACUCAGAUUUGAGACAGGCACUUGAAGAAGAUGACUGAGAAAUGUUCAAUUUGAUGAAAAAUUGCAAACAACCGGACCACUGUGAAACCAUAUGUAUGGGUUGUUUCUAACUGGGUGCUUUACUUCUGAAACAGUUUUCAAGUUUGGGAUCUAAAGCACAUGGUCAGGAGUUCAAGCAAGCCAUAGCAGGCCAUCCUUUGCAGCAGGCCGUGUGAGCUUCAUCUUUACAAACAAGGACAAGAGAUGUGCCUGAGCCACAGAAAAGAGCAGCAGAGCACCAGGACUUGGCUCAGCUCCAAGUCAGAAUGCUGAGCUCCAGAGCUGGGCUUUGGCUGUUCCUCUCACUGCAGGAGCAGAAAUAAUGGUCAAAAUGUUCCUGACCUUGACUGUCUCAUCUGAACAAAUCCUCCUUGACAACUACUACACUUGGUAAUUGUUUAUUUAACUGGGCGAUACUCUGUUACUGUCUCCUCCAAGUCUGUAAGCAACAUGAGGGCAGGGAUGACUUAUGUCUAUUUUGUUUACUGCUUUAUCUGAAGUGGCCAGCACUGUGGCUGGCACGUAGUAGGAGUUCAAUCCAUAUCUGCCAAAAGGAUAAAGGAACAAAUGAACCAAUGAAUGAAUGAAGAGAUAACAGACUCCAGAAGUAAUUACAGCUGAAUCCUAUAGCCCACUUCUAAGAGUAGUAGCAUUUUAGGAAGCCCUAGUAUUUCAGCUUCAGAGAUGGCUAAGUAUAAUUGUGUGAAGUCUGAAAAGGACUUAAACUCUGUCGCUCCAUUAAUGAUCAAGACAGGAAGAGUCUUUAAGAAGAGAAAAAAAUUGACGGAGGGGAGGAUGGCAGAAGGAAAAUCAUGUUUAAGAACUAAUAGAAGAUUUAUGAUAGUAAUUUUUAAAUCUUAGACGUGAAUUAUUCUAAACCAUGAUAAAAGAAUUUACUACAAAUGGCAGUUGCAGAAUGGCUUGAACUGCUAUAUGAUAUCUUAUUGAAUCUCCACACUGCAAAGUUGGUGGAAGUUAAGCUGUUUGUAACUUACUUUGGAGGAAAGAGAAAUAAAUGUGUAUGUAAACGCUAAUCAGGCCGAUGAUCUCUCUUUUGGUGCAAUUUGAUAGCUACACCUGGGAUGGGGCCAAACUCUCUCCGGGGAAAGACUUCCUUUUAGAACACCAGCAAUCCCCAGAUCCAUAAUGGUGAAUUACACGGGUCUGAGAAUAAGAGGAAAAGUCACCAUGACUAGAAUGAAAGGAUAAUGCAAGGGUACUUGGGCUUCUCAUGGCUGCAUGGUAUAUGAUUCUCUGGGUUUUAUACUGCUCCUUCCUUAGCCCUCAGAACUCUUAAUCCUAUUUUCAUUGCCCUAGGUAAACUGGGAAAUAUUUUCUCCUCCUUGACUGCAGUUACUCACACAAUAAACAGGUAAUAAACAUUUUACUGCCCUAAGCAACCUCCUGCUAGGCAGGCAGUCAGAAGAGAAAAGGCUGUGCAAAAUAACCCCCUACAGGAUAAACUGUGGGGUACAAAGGAUGAGAGUAACCCUUCAAUAGAGCGCACCCUCUGUGGGUUCCAGGAGAGUGACUGGGAGCUGCUGGGACACAUUAGCUGGCCCUUGCGGUCUAGAUUCCUCUCUGCUUGAGGCUAGUAGGGAAGAUUUGAUUUCACCAAAAGGUAAUUUAGUUGCCAUUUCAAAGCUCUGUCUAGCUAAAUUAAGGAUGAGGAACGAAACUGGAGUUUACAAUCUCCCAG